GGCGGGAUAAUAGCCCACCAAGGCUCCGAUGGGUAGCCGAGCUGAGAGGUUGAUCGGCCACACUGGGACUGAGACACGGCCCAGACACCUACGGGUGGCAGCAGUAGGGAAUAUUGGACAAUGGGCGCAAGCCUGAUCCAGCCAUGCCGCGUGGAUGAUGAAGGCCUUCGGGUCGUAAAAUCCUUUUCUGAGAGAAGAACAUCCGGGGCAGGAAAUGGCCCCGGCUUGACGGUAUCUCAGGAAUAAGCAACGGCCAACUCCGUGCCAGCAGCCGCGGUAAUACGGAGGUUGCAAGCGUUGUUCGGAAUUACUGGGCGUAAAGGGAGCGCAGGCGGCUUGGCCAGUCUGAAGUGAAAGCCCGGGGCUCAACUCCGGAAGUGCUUUGGAUACUACCAAGCUUGAGUACGUGAGAGGAGAGCGGAAUUCCAGGUGUAGCGGUGAAAUGCGUAGAUAUCUGGAGGAACACCGGUGGCGAAAGCGGCUCUCUGGCACGAUACUGACGCUCAGGCUCGAAAGCGUGGGGAGCAAACGGGAUUAGAUACCCCGGUAGUCCACGCCGUAAACGAUGCAGACUAGAUCGCGGAGGCUCUGACGCCCCCGUGGUCGAAGCUAAAGUGCUAAGUCUGCCGCCUGGGGAGUACGGUCGCAAGGCUAAAACUCAAAGGAAUUGACGG
This 674-nucleotide ribosomal RNA is filed under the name uncultured bacterium. RNAcentral describes it as "bacterial SSU rRNA". It matches the Rfam family "Bacterial small subunit ribosomal RNA", at positions 251 to 916 of the family's 1533-position model. The record is from RNAcentral.